UACGGAGGGUGCAAGCGUUGUCCGGAAUUAUUGGGCGUAAAGAGCUCGUAGGCGGUCUGUUACGUCCGCUGUGAAAACCCAGGGCUUAACCCUGGGCUUGCAGUGGAUACGGGUAGACUAGAGGCAGGUAGGGGAGAAUGGAAUUCCCGGUGUAGCGGUGAAAUGCGCAGAUAUCGGGAGGAACACCGGUGGCGAAGGCGGUUCUCUGGGCCUGACCUGACGCUGAGGAGCGAAAGCGUGGGGAGCGAACAGG
This 253-nucleotide ribosomal RNA is filed under the name uncultured bacterium. Its description in RNAcentral is "partial 16S ribosomal RNA". It matches the Rfam family "Bacterial small subunit ribosomal RNA", at positions 524 to 776 of the family's 1533-position model. The record is from RNAcentral.